RNAcentral lists this ribosomal RNA (156 nucleotides) under Streptococcus pneumoniae. RNAcentral's name for it is "partial 16S ribosomal RNA". It matches the Rfam family "Bacterial small subunit ribosomal RNA", at positions 1378 to 1533 of the family's 1533-position model. The record is from RNAcentral. RNAcentral also lists the same sequence under 3 other names. Lineage: Bacteria; Bacillati; Bacillota; Bacilli; Lactobacillales; Streptococcaceae.
GCCUUGUACACACCGCCCGUCACACCACGAGAGUUUGUAACACCCGAAGUCGGUGAGGUAACCGUAAGGAGCCAGCCGCCUAAGGUGGGAUAGAUGAUUGGGGUGAAGUCGUAACAAGGUAGCCGUAUCGGAAGGUGCGGCUGGAUCACCUCCUUU